AUACGUAGGGGGCAAGCGUUGUCCGGAAUUAUUGGGCGUAAAGCGCGCGCAGGCGGCAGCUUAAGUCUCAUGUUUAAACCCGGGGCUCAACUUCGGGUCGCAUGGGAAACUGGGUUGCUUGAGUGCAGGAGAGGAAAGCGGAAUUCCACGUGUAGCGGUGAAAUGCGUAGAGAUGUGGAGGAACACCAGUGGCGAAGGCGGCUUUCUGGUCUGUAACUGACGCUGAGGCGCGAAAGCGUGGGGAGCAAACAGGAUGAGAUACCCUGGUAGUCCACGCCGUAAACGAUGAAUGCCAGGUGUCAGGGGUUUCGAUACCCUUGGUGCCGAAGUAAACACAUUAAGCAUUCCGCCUGGGGAGUACGUUCGCAAGAAUGAA
This 376-nucleotide ribosomal RNA is filed under the name uncultured bacterium. RNAcentral's name for it is "bacterial SSU rRNA". It matches the Rfam family "Bacterial small subunit ribosomal RNA", at positions 523 to 898 of the family's 1533-position model. The record is from RNAcentral.